CGGGCCGUGGCGCAGUCUGGUAGCGCGUUUGACUGGGGGUCAAAAGGUCGCAGGUUCGAAUCCUGUCGGCCCGA
RNAcentral lists this transfer RNA (74 nucleotides) under Symbiodinium pilosum. It matches the Rfam family "tRNA". Rfam says of the family: Transfer RNA (tRNA) molecules are approximately 80 nucleotides in length. Their secondary structure includes four short double-helical elements and three loops (D, anti-codon, and T loops). The record is from Rfam by way of RNAcentral. Lineage: Eukaryota; Dinophyceae; Suessiales; Symbiodiniaceae. RNAcentral also lists the same sequence under 11 other names.